Mus musculus (house mouse) is the source of this 5166-nucleotide RNA transcript. It is a transcript of the gene named CFAP97 domain containing 2, with no coding region annotated. The transcript has 4 exons. The record is from RefSeq and is marked validated. NCBI's taxonomy places the organism in Eukaryota, Metazoa, Chordata, Mammalia, Rodentia, Muridae.
UAUAAAUGAUUCGGAAAGAAAGACGGGACCAAAAGUGUUUCUCUUCCUGAAGAAAUACAAAGAUUAAGAAAGUAAAGAAAGGAAGAGAGUGGCAGGUGGCAGAUGACUGUGAAAGAGAUGCUGGUUCAUUCUAGUCUGUUCUGGCAAAGGAGAUGGUCUUUGGCCUCCUUUUUUCUUGUUUUCUUCUGGAGCUGGGAGCUGAGUUGCUCUUCUCCCGACAGCAGCAGUGAGCUAAUCAAGACUCAAGACAACCACUGGGGUGGAAGGAGAGUCUAGCUGUCUCUUAGUGCUCUCUCAUCUUUUGUUCAAAAGCCUCCAGACUGAACUGGGCUCUCCCCAAGGCCUGGGUGCCAUGGCAACCGUCACAUGACCCCACAAACAGCUCUGCUGCUGGGGCUGUACUGCUGCUGCCUGCUCCUCUCUGAAGGGACGCUGGAGUUUGUGAUCUGAGAUGCAUAGAGUCCCCCGGCUGACCACCCCGUGGGCUAAUAGGGACCUGCAGAGAGCCUGGGAGAAAACCUACCAGGACCACAGGAAAAAGGUCCAGAAUGCCCAACCACUAGUGGACACCCACCCACCACAGAUUUACAGUCAUCUCUGCCUAAAGUUCAAGAAGUUGAAGAUGGAGGAAGAGAGACUCUCCAUCAUUGACAGGAACAACUACCUGCUUCUGCAGAGGGUGGCCUCCGCCAUGAAAACCAGGGGACAGACUGAUGGCCGAAAUAACUUUACACAGAGAAGGUAACAUUUGCUUUGGCUGGGACUGCAUUCAAGGGACAGAGACCCAGGGCAGGGGACAGGGACAUGGCAACCCAGGGGCAAGCCAAACUCAAAGGGCCCUUAUGCCCCCUGACUCCAAACCUUCCUUGAGGCUCUGAGGUAUAUCAGAGCACACGAAUGGUCCCAGAAUGACCGCAAGCCCAGCCAUAGGCCUGCUGAGGGCCAGGAGCUGUCCACAGAGUCUUCUCGGUCACCAUCCUCAAGGACCAGGCAAGGUGGAGGCUGUGCUUCUUCCCAUUUCAUAGAGGGGGACAUUGAGGGAUGGUGAAGCUGCACAACCUGGCCAAAGUCGCUAUCACCGUGGACGGUGCAGGGUGUGUCCAAGUUGCAGAGCGUGCAACAGCCUUGCAGUGUUAGCUCUGGGAGAGAGCGAAGGGCUCAGACCUGAUACCUGGUCCCCUCUCUGCUGCCGCUGCUCUCUGAAACCUGUGAUUCCCUCAGCUUAGAAUGUUGUUUCCCAAGAGGAUGAAGGGCAGCAUGCCUUGUGUUCCAUGAGACCACCCUGUGAACACUCUCAGGAGUCCUUAGCCCUUGCAAAAGAACGGUGCUGUGUCCUUGGUAGCCACGUGCCCCAGGAAAUAUCUGUAGUUUUUCCUUCUAAGUGCAGAGUCAUGGCGGUGACUGUACAGGGUCACUGCAAUGCAGGCUUUUCUGCAGACAUCCUAGACUCUUUAACCCCUGAGAGAAGUUUCCAGAUUCAUAAUAAGCUAAAUCACAGGCAAGCCAUCGGAUUCAGGGAAGGAACAGAGGUGCCAUGAAUGAGGCUGCUGAUUUGGGGAAUCAUGUCUGUUUCAAGGACACAGAAAACUAGUUGAUUUAGAUAGUAUUAAUACAGCCAGAUAUCUUAUUAAGAAAAAGGCAACACUUUUGGAGAAACUAAACAACCAACAACAGAAGCUAUACAAUAAAAAGUUAAAUCAGGGGAUUUAGUAAAUCUAUGUAUCUUCAUUGAGAUGUACUUGAUACUUGAUAAGCAAUAUCUUACACUUAAGGGAUAUAGUUUAAUGGGUUUGACAUGUCCCACACUGAAACCAUCUCCUUAGUGACAAUGGUGCACACAGCCUUUGCUUCCUAUUCCUCUGGUGCUGGGCAGGAAUCCUCCUGACAGCCAGGCCCUGGAGGUCACACUGGAUGUGGUUGGCUCUGGGACUGCACGCAUGUCCUGCAGAGUGACAUUGGUUUGUUUUAUUGCUGUCUGUUUGUUUUUCAAAGAAAGGGUUUCUACAUAGCCCUGGCUUUCCUGGAACUUAUUAUGUAGACCAGGCUAACCUUGAACUCACAGAGAUCUCCCUGCUUCUGUCUCCCGAGUGCUAGGAUUAAAAGUGUGCACAACCACACCUGUCUAGAUUGGCAUUGUUAAGGACAGCAUUGUGUCAGCCUUGGGCUGCUGAGUGACACCCUCUCCUAGAUGUCAAACUAUUCAUUUCACCUAUCAGUGAGCAUUCUGGUUUGUUUUUGGUCACUACUAAUAAGGUUACAAUGACUGUUUAUGUUUUAAAACAACAACAAUUUAUACUCAUGUCUGCAGAGACUAACAACUCAGUAGAAAAUAGAGAAAGCAAACAAGUCACCCAGAGAGGGCCCCCCUGAAGGAAAAGGUGGGUCUCCUUGAAUAUGACACCAGUAAAAUCUAUGACAGAUGUUAAAUAGAGACAAAACGAAUGCCAUUUAAGGGCUCUGUACAUUGCCACAAGGACACAUUCACACGAGGGAACGUGUAGGAUAUCUAUUGCAUCAAGAGAGGGAACUGCCGUAUUUGAACUGCACUCACCCCAGGCUGCGCCACACAAGACCCACCUUGGAAGCCCUGUUGGAACUGAGGCUGCCUCUUCCCACAGUGGUCUUUCUAAAAUAUGCCUGGGACUGUGGUCGAGCAUUUAGCACUCUCAAGACACCUUAGGCUCUUCAGGCCUCUGGCUGCCAUGCUUCUCCCCAUGGGCGCUGGGCCUUCCUCCUCUUCUCACUGUCAGCCCUCCUCUCCUUCUGAGGUUCUGUUCAGCAUUGCCUCCUGGAUGUCAUCUCAACUCUCCCUUAGGAGCCUGGCAUCUUCACCUCAUGAGCUCCGGGCCCACUCCCUGGUAGACAGGGAUGGGGAGGAACGUUUGUUGAAUGUCUCUCGAUGGGAAGCAAACAAGAGCCCAGAUAUUAGCUAGAGCCUGCCAGGCCUGAGGACACAUGGGCUCCCUUUGGGAAUGCAGAGUAAGCUCUCUGUCCCAUAAUCUUGGUCUACGAAAGAAUGUGUGUAUUCCUUUCUGGAGUCUAAACAGGAAGAGCAGAGAACAGGCAUUUAUGAAGGUGCAGAAACAAAAUCAAGUCUUCCCAGAGAGACUCAGAAGCUCAGAGCCCCGGUACAGAGCACAGAGACGGCGGGAGGACAGGGCUGCCGUGGCCAGCCAUCCCUGCAAGCGCAGACACACCUGGAGAAAAGGAGCUGAGAGGGACGGCCACAGCCUCAUCUGGACGCGCAGCCUGAAGCCAAAGGGGUGAGGGUCAGAACCCAUCCACUGAAAGGAGACCAGGGCCCAGAUGCUCCGAUGAGGCCUUCCUGUGUCUCCUUGGGGUGGGGUGGGGAUGGGGGUGGGGGUGUGCAGGUCUUGGGGCUGGUGGCCUCGCAUCUGAGGCUGGCUUCAUGGCCUCCAGGGACCGUCAUGGGCACUGUGAUGCAGCACUCCGGAGCUGCUCGGUCACAAUCUUCACCAGAUGACAUAGCACAGCUAUUUAUUGUGUUUCUUGGACUGAUAACCAAAAACAAAAUAUGCAGAGUAACACUGGACUUUCUUUUCUAGCUGUUAAUACUUUUCUGAGUUACCAUGAGUUUGGGUGAUUGUAUGUAAUUCUCUUAAAAACAAAAACAAAAACAAAACAAAACAAAGAAAAACAAACCAAAAACCUCUCUGUGACUCUCAGUUUACCAAAUAUGUAAAUCAAUCAACUUGAGAUCUUUAACCCGGAUCCAGAAUACAAGACCCAAAAGGUAAGAACCCAGUGAGUCCUGCAGAGCAACUAAGGAGUGUCUGAGAGUCCCUGUCUCUAGGUAAGAUCACAUUUCAGUUAUAUAACAAUGAGCUGCUGGCCUAUCUGCCUCAGAUGUAACGAAAAAAGACCUCUUGCACACUUUCAUCUGUUCAUCCAGCAAAGGCCUAUGGGGCUUCUGGCCAUGGACGUGAGGAAGAAGCAUGUUCUGUGUAAGCCGGGAUCAGCCAUUUCAGAGGAGAGAAGUCCAAUUAUCCUGUUAUGAGUGUGUGUGUAUGUGUGUGCAUGUGUGUGUGUUUGUAUGUGUGUAUGUAUUGUGUGUGUUUGUAUGUGUGUGCAUGCGUUUGUAUGUGUUUAUGUGUGUUUGCAUGUGUGUGUUUGUAUCUGUAUUUGUAUGUGUGUAUGUGUACACAUGCCCACACAUACGUGUGUGUGCAAGCUAGUUUCAUUUCUUUAUGCUCGAACCCUUGAAUGUCUGCUUGAAGGUCAGUAAUAAGCUGAAUGCUAGCUCCCCAGACUGCAAAGAUCCCUUUAGUGCGCCAUAGAAGGGUGGAAAUAAUGCAAGAGCCGGAGGUGUGCAGCGAAAAGACAUUUUCCGGCUGCGCACGAGGACUCACUGUGGCUCCCUGACGGACUAUUGGCAGUUCCUGGCUACUGGGGAAGGGGAGUUUCAUCUCUUGGAUCCCUGGAAUUUCAUAUUCUUCAGUGGUAUAACUUCAGUGAAUAACUUCCAUGUAUGUUCAUGCAAGUAGCUCUAAUUCAACAAAGUGGCCAACACACUUGCACACACGUGUACACACACACAAACACACAGAUGAAAUAGGGCUGGAGAGAUUGCUCAGUGGUUAGGAGCACAGUCUGUUUUUUCCAGAGGACCCAGGCACAUGAAUACACAUAUGCGCACACACACACACACACACACACACACACAAAAGUAUAUGAAAGGGGGCUGCAGAGACGACGCAGUGGUUAGGAGCACAGUCUAUUUUUCCAGAGGACCCAGGUCCUGUUUCUAGCACACACAUAGGAUCUCACAACCCUCCCUAUCUCCAAUUCCAGGGACUCAAAUGCCUCCUUCUGGCUUCCAUGGGCACUAUAAAUAUACAUGUAGUUCAUACAUUCAUAUACAUAAAUUACAAUGAAAUAAAUCUUUACAAAAUGAUAAAAGUAGGAAAAAGACUUGCUAGGAAGAAGAGUUUCAGUAGGAGAGAGGGGGAUGAGAGAGGAUAGUGGGGGACUAUAAAACACCUCAAAUAUAUUAUAGACGUCGAUGAAACUGUCAAAGAAUAAAACAUUUAAAGAAUGGAAAGACUGUAUCCAAUCACUGGGCUCAUCACUUUCUGAGUCAGGAGUUCUUGAAAGCAUUAGAUCCGGGCUAUUAUUUUGUUUGUUUUUCCAAGACAGGGUUUCCCU